Long non-coding RNA from Populus nigra (black poplar), 627 nucleotides. RefSeq lists it as uncharacterized. The transcript is spliced from 2 exons. The record is from RefSeq and is a predicted model, not a curated record. Lineage: Eukaryota; Viridiplantae; Streptophyta; Magnoliopsida; Malpighiales; Salicaceae.
GCCUUCUCCUGAAACAAACAAAAUCCAUACCUUAUCAUGUAUUGGAAGAGAAAUAUCAUUGUAUUCUUGAGCACAAGCUAUUGUAGUGGUGAGGAUGAAUUCUCUAAAAAAAAACAUAGAAAAUGAGAUUGAAGGAAAAUAUUUGAACCUCUUGCACUGCUAAAUUUAUUUGAUUAGAGUUAACGCUAUUGUGCAAUGCAAAAUACUUUAUGGAAAAGAAUGAUUGGCAGUUAGAGAUAAAAUAUGGAGAAAGAAAAGGUGUUAGGUUUUCUACAAGGAUGCUGUAGUGGAUUAUUUUAGCACAAGAAAAGAUAAGAGUAUCGAAUUGUUGUUUUCAUGUGAAGUCAGACAUGUAGUUAAUUUAGGAUUAGGAUAGUACAUAAAGAACUUUAUUGAAGUAGUUUAGUUUCUUUAGGUGAUGAUUCAUAUGUAGGUAUUUAUUUUAAAUUUCAAAUGUGCCAGAAGCGCAAGGAGACAACAGAUGAUUACGUGGGAGAAAUGGCACAGACGGAUCUCUGCAGUCAAACUGAGAUUUUUUAACCUUAUUGUUUAGCAAGGAUAUGUUUUUCAUGGACUUUGGUUAAGUUUUUCAUGAAUAGGUGAUCACAAUCCUCAUUGGAAAAACUA